RNAcentral lists this ribosomal RNA (253 nucleotides) under uncultured bacterium. RNAcentral's name for it is "partial 16S ribosomal RNA". It matches the Rfam family "Bacterial small subunit ribosomal RNA", at positions 524 to 776 of the family's 1533-position model. The record is from RNAcentral.
UACGGCGGCGGCUCGCGUUGUUCGGAAUUACUGGGCGUAAAGCGCGCGUAGGCGGAUUGUUAAGUCGGGGGUGAAAUCCCGGGGCUCAACCCCGGAACUGCCUUCGAUACUGGCAAUCUGGAGUUCGAGAGAGGUGAGUGGAAUUCCGAGUGUAGAGGUGAAAUUCGUAGAUAUUCGGAGGAACGCCAGUGGCGAAGGCGGCUCACUGGCUCGAUACUGACGCUGAGGUGCGAAAGCGUGGGGAGCAAACAGG